AGUAACGGCGAGUGAAGCGGGAAGAGCUCAAAUUUGAAAUCUGGUGGCCUCAGGUCAUCCGAGUUGUAAUCUAUAGAAGUGUUUUCCGUGCUGGCUCAUGUACAAGUCCCUUGGAACAGGGCGUCAUAGAGGGUGAGAAUCCCGUCCUUGACAUGAACUACCAGUGCUCUGUGAUACAUUUUCAACGAGUCGAGUUGUUUGGGAAUGCAGCUCAAAAUGGGUGGUAAAUUCCAUCUAAAGCUAAAUAUUGGCGAGAGACCGAUAGCGAACAAGUACCGUGAGGGAAAGAUGAAAAGCACUUUGGAAAGAGAGUUAAACAGUAUGUGAAAUUGUUGAAAGGGAAACGAUUGAAGUCAGUCGUGCUCUUUGGAUUCAGCCGGUUCUGCCGGUGUACUUCCUUUGAGUGGGGUCAACAUCAGUUUUGAUCGCUGGAUAAAGGCGGGAGGAAUGUAGUACCCUCGGGUAAACUUAUAGCCUCUUGUCACAUACAGUGGUUGGGACUGAG
RNAcentral lists this ribosomal RNA (505 nucleotides) under Cryptococcus sp. 1.1.1-Y3. RNAcentral's name for it is "LSU rRNA". It matches the Rfam family "Eukaryotic large subunit ribosomal RNA", at positions 82 to 591 of the family's 3401-position model. Lineage: Eukaryota; Fungi; Basidiomycota; Tremellomycetes; Tremellales; Cryptococcaceae. The record is from RNAcentral.